AGCGACUGCCGGGAGGGGCUCGC
RNAcentral lists this non-coding RNA (23 nucleotides) under Gallus gallus (chicken). The record is from miRBase by way of RNAcentral. Lineage: Eukaryota; Metazoa; Chordata; Aves; Galliformes; Phasianidae.